This 506-nucleotide ribosomal RNA is filed under the name uncultured bacterium. RNAcentral's name for it is "partial 16S ribosomal RNA". It matches the Rfam family "Bacterial small subunit ribosomal RNA", at positions 28 to 523 of the family's 1533-position model. The record is from RNAcentral.
GAUGAACGCUAGCUACAGGCUUAACACAUGCAAGUCGAGGGGUAACGAGAGGAAAGCUUGCUUUCCUUGUCGACGACCGGCGCACGGGUGAGUAACGCGUAUCCAACCUGCCCCCAACUAGGGAAUAACCUUGCGAAAGUAAGACUAAUACCCCAUAAUUUCCUCAGAUGACAUCUGACGAGGAAUAAAGAUUUAUCGGUUGUGGAUGGGGAUGCGUCUGAUUAGCUUGUUGGCGGGGUAACGGCCCACCAAGGCAACGAUCAGUAGGGGUUCUGAGAGGAAGGUCCCCCACAUUGGAACUGAGACACGGUCCAAACUCCUACGGGAGGCAGCAGUGAGGAAUAUUGGUCAGUGGGCGGAAGCCUGAACCAGCCAAGUAGCGUGCAGGAUGACGGCCCUAUGGGUUGUAAACUGCUUUUAUACAGGAAUAAAGUUAGCCACGUGUGGUUAUUUGUAGGUACUGUAUGAAUAAGGACCGGCUAAUUCCGUGCCAGCAGCCGCCGUAA